Molecule: transfer RNA, 64 nt
Filed under: Colasposoma dauricum
Lineage: Eukaryota; Metazoa; Arthropoda; Insecta; Coleoptera; Chrysomelidae
Description: tRNA-Pro
Source: RNAcentral
CAAAGAAUAGUUUAAGAAAAAAUAUUAAUUUUGGAGAUUAACGAUGAGUUUUACUUUUCUUUGA